CUGAUCCAGCCAUGCCGCGUGUGUGAAGAAGGCCUUAGGGUUGUAAAGCACUUUCAGGGGUGAGGAAGGGUAACRAGUUAAUACCUAGUUAUUUUGACGUUAGCCCCAGAAGAAGCACCGGCUAACUCUGUGCCAGCAGCCGCGGUAAU
Molecule: ribosomal RNA, 149 nt
Filed under: uncultured bacterium
Lineage: Bacteria
Description: partial 16S ribosomal RNA
Rfam family: Bacterial small subunit ribosomal RNA
Source: RNAcentral